GAAAUAUUUUCAGAAAUGAAAAGUGUCAAACUGGUCCCAAUGUAUUUUUAAACAGCUAAGAGAAAUAUAUGAAAUUAUAGAGCUCAUUUUGAAACUAGGUUGUCAAAUCUAGUUCACUUCUGAGUGUAACUGACAAAGUUUACCAAACAGUAUCUAAGCACAGCUUGAAUAACAGGAUGAUGAUACCUAGGAUAGCUGAAUUAAUAUUUUAGUUUUGAGUUUCUUAACUUCUUUUUGCUUUUGAUGACAGUAGUUUUCAAAAAACUGACAAUUUUCCUACAUAUUUCUAUAUUUUCAGUUUUAAAUUGAAUUUUUGUUUUAUUUUUGAAAUUUCCUUCAUCCUGAUUCAUCAUCUAACACCGUGUAUCUUUUAAAUACAUACAUAAUCUAUAUAAUCUAGUUAUAAUCUAACCAGUGUAAUGAUUGUAUCCUUCCAGUGCAUAAAUUAGAAACAGAAAAUGAAUCUUUCUGUUCCUGGAAGUGAGAAGAAAAAAACUUGCAUCUACUUGUUAAGGGCCGUGGUUGUGUCCACAGCUCUUUGUAUGGUAUUUUGCAUUUAGAUUUGAGUGACAAAGCAAUGGCUGCUCCAUCAAAUCUUGCAUCAACUUUCACAUGUUGAAACAAAACUCCUGCCAAACAAAUAUCCUUUUCUCAUACCCUAAAUGCAUUAGCAAUAUCUACUGGACACUGAUCUCAGGCCUCAGAGAAUGUACAUUACCUACGGGGACUUUACAGACAUCUGCACACACCAGCCCACAUAAUGGAAGCUGGGCUGUGUACUCAGACUGCACAUUGUUGGUGAGCAAGGAUACAAUGGGAGCAGCACUCCUAUUCCAUGUGGUGGAUGAACAGUGUGACCUUCCCAUCUAUAGAAUGGCACUGGAGAAGAUCCUGGGAGCUACAAACUGGUGUUUAUGGCUUCUAUUUCUGGUAAAAUGGACUGCUAGGGAAAAAGUUGGCCCAGCUUCCGUAAAGUGAAAUCUUGCUAACCUGCUGGUAUCUGAGGGGAGUGUCAAGAGUUACCUGGAUAAAAGGAAUCUGUCUAAUAUAUAUAUGUACAUAUAUAUAUGUACAUAUAUAUAUAUAUACACACAUAUAUGUAUACAUAUAUGUGUGCAUAUAUAUAUAUACAUAUAUGUAAAAUUCUAUGUCAAAGGUUAUUAAAGAAAACAAGUUGCCACUGGAAUUGGAGGGAAGGCUCUUUUAUGAAUUGAAGGUUGAUUAAAGAAUAGGAGGUAUAUGGUAAGAUUAAUAAUCAGUCACUUCUCUAAAUGAGGAAGAAUCAGCGGAGUCUCCUGUAGACCGCAUGGAACUAGUUUUGCCAGUGUCUUCAGCAGUAUGACGGGAAUAAACAGGGACAUUUCCUAGUCUGCA
Molecule: long non-coding RNA, 1374 nt
Filed under: Anser cygnoides (Swan goose)
Lineage: Eukaryota; Metazoa; Chordata; Aves; Anseriformes; Anatidae
Description: lncRNA (ENSACDG00005012516.1)
Source: RNAcentral